Molecule: non-coding RNA, 4003 nt
Organism: Callithrix jacchus (white-tufted-ear marmoset)
Lineage: Eukaryota; Metazoa; Chordata; Mammalia; Primates; Cebidae
Source: RefSeq, a predicted model, not a curated record
CUAUUUUCUUUUCUUCUUUUUAUUUUUUUUAAGUCAUAUCGGAGAAAAAGCAUCAGUUUUCAAAGGUUCCAUGUAUCUGAUCUUCCAGCACCAGCAAAAACGUGUCCAAGAGACUCCGCCAAAAAAGAUGAAGUCUUGCUUUGUCGCCCAGGCUGGAGUGCCAGUAGUGUGAUUGUGGUUCACUGUAGCCUCCGCCUCCCGGGUUCCAGAGAUUCUCCUGCCUCAGCCUCCCAGGAAUAAGUCCACUCCGAAAAAAAAAUUAAAUGCUAAUGAAGGCAACUUGUGAACGAUAAUGUGCAAAGUUGCUGAGAAGCCAAAGGUCAAGAGGCUGCAUCUGUUAAGAGCCUUCUUGCUGGUGGAGACUUUGAAGAGUCCCAAGACGGCACAAGUUACCACAUAGAGAAGAGGCUGAGCAUGCUAGCUCAGGUCUCUCCUCUACUUUUAAUAAAGCCACCGAUACUACUCCAAUGAUAACCCAUCAACCCAUUAAUUCAUUAAUGUAAUACAUUAAUGAAUUAAUGGACAAAUCCAUCCAUGAAAGCAGUCUUCAUGAUCCAGUCACAUCUUAGCAGCCCCAUGCUCAGUCAGUACUUCUACAGUGGGGUUUCAAUUUCAGUAUAAUCCAGGUACAAGGGCUCAUGCCUAUAAUCCCAGCAAUUUGGGAGGCCAAGGUGGGUGGAUUGCUUGAGUCUAGGAGUUUGAGACCAACCUGGGCAACAUGGCAAAACCCUGUCUUUACAACAAAAAUAUAAAAAUUAGCUGGGUGUAGUUGUGUGUGCCUGUGGUCCCAGCUACUCCAGGGGCUGAGGUGGAAGGAUCACUUGAGCCUGGGAGGUGGAGUUUAUAGUGAGCCAAGAUUGCACCACUGCACUCCAACCUGGGCAACAGAGUGAGAUCUGUCUCAAACAGAAACAAAAAAAAUUCAAGGUGAGUUUUAAAGGGGACAAACAUUCAAACCGUAGCAGUACCGAAUCCUGCAUAAGGGUCCGAAUAGUGUACCCCAGACAGUAUUUAUGACAGUACCUUACAUCAACGUGUCUUCACACCUGUAAAAAGGGGAUAAUGACCCAAGUCCAAGUCAGCCUCAUAGAGGGUAGUGUUUUUUUAUUUUGGCAUAUGCGUAUCUUUAGAUAUAGAAAUUAUGCGUGUUAUAUAAACACACACAUGAUAUGUUAUAUAUAUAUUCUAAACAUAUUAUCUCACACAAAAAUGAACUCUCAAUAAGUGUUAGAUCUUUUUAUUAUUAUUUCUCAUAUAGUAAGCCUAUGUAUGGAUAUUCAUAAUUGAGAAGUUUCAUUUUAAUGACUUAAAAUUGAGGCAAGGCAAAGUUAAUGCCUUGCCUACUAAUAUCCAGACAAAAAGAUUGUCUGUAUUUCUCCCUAUGUCCUUGCUGUUAUUUUUUGUAUUGCAGUUCUUCAUAUGAAAUCCUGUAGGAUUUCAACUCAAAUCAAAUCACCCAAACCUUCAAAUGGUGUUUCUGUCAUUAUAUUUGUUUGCGUGCUUAAUUGUUCUUUGUUUGUUUCCCCUACAAGUUGGCUUUUUGUCUCCAUCAAGAUCAGUUUGUAUAUUUCCUAUUUUCUAGGAGGGUGAAGAGAAAGGAGACUGCAUGUUCUGACAUGUACUUUUAAAUUAAAAAGAGAGUGAGUUUAAAAUAGAAGUAAUUCUAACACAUGCAGAUAUCCACAUGCUGAGGAGACAAUUCUAUUGUAUUUUUCAAACAUUAAAAACAGAGAGAGAGGGAGGAAAAUAAAAUUAGUCCAUAUUGGAAUGAACACAACUGGGGCCUUGGCAAAGCUGACACAGACAUCGCUGCCAGUGUACAACAGAGCACAAAGGGUCUGUUUCUGCUGAUCAUCACGAAUCACUGAGACCUCUAAAUAUGUUCUUUUAAACAAGAAUGAGUAAUACUGCAAUUUUUCUUUCACAAAUGAGUCAAUACAAUCUGACACAUACCAUUCAGUGUACAUUUUUUAGGUAUUUUUAUUGCUGUUAGAUGAAAGUUGGCAUAUGUAUUUUUUUGUUUCAUUAUUUUUGGGUUAGAUUAUUAUUUGGCCUGCUUUUGUGUGUUUGUAUAUGUGUGUUUCUCUCUCUCUCUCUCUCUCUCUCUCUCUCUCUCUCUCUCUCUCUCUGUGUGUGUGUGUGUGUGUGUGUGUGUGUGUGUAUCUGUGUGAUUCUAGGGGAAACUAGAACAGAAAAAUUUACAGCUGCUUGUAUCCUGUUUCAUUCGACAGAGGAGACUGGGAUUUCUGUUUCUUCUAUUUCCUGACUCAUUUCCAAAAGGCCUCUACUAUCACAAUUGUCACAGCAACAAUACUUUCUAUAUAGCAAAAAUAUUUCCCAGUUUACCUAUUUCAAGAAAGUGAUUUCUAGGCUAACAAAAAAAUGAGUACAAUCUCCUGGCUGGCUGCAAUAGAAACAUAGAGAAGUAAAAUUUAACAAUAAGCAUAAUCUAGAAAAAAUAAUUCUAACUAGACUCGGCUUCACUGAUACUCAAAAUCUGUUCUACCUUGCUUUAUCGCUCCUUUCACCUAUCGAACAGCGCAUAUGUGGACAUUCUUUGUUUCUGCAUGUCCCAAAUAGAUCCUCUUUCUCCUGAAACAACACUCUGCUAUCCCUUUGGUGAGCCACCCCUCCUUCUGCUCAGUCCUUCAGCUAACCCUAACUUUAACCACAGUUCUAGUAAGGACACAGAAUCAGGCUUAGCAAAAAAAAAAAAAAAAAAAAAAAAGUAUAUUAUUUUAGUACGAAAGCCCAAGCCAUCCAAUGACAACCUCAGCCUUUUUGCUAGAAUUUUGGGGAACAUGAACCCCUCUUUUGACCUGGUGAGCUGCAUUUAUGGGAAAGUUGCCAGAUGCUGAUGGUAAUCUUACUGUCUUAGUAAGGAAACAGCCUGCCUGAGAUUGGAAUGGGGAUAGAGGAAAGCAGAGAUGAAGACAGACCAAGUUUGACAUUGCUUUGGUACCUGGACUCAUUCGACCACACCCAGAGAAAAUUCUGUCACCAUACUUUUCAGUUAUGUGAGUUAAUCAACUUAAAAUAAGGCAAAGUGAAGGUUUUGUGUUUUGUUUGAUGUGAAAUUAAAAAGUUCCUGAUAGAACUAGGUUAUAUUUGUAUAUUUGAUACACAUAUUCACAUAUUCAUUACUCAUUCAAAAAUACUUAGAGUUUGAGGGAACUUUACUUCCAUACUUCUGAGCAUUCUCUGUUCUCUCACUAACUCCCCCACAGGAGAAGAUGACCAGCUUAAUCUGACUGGUGAUUGUGAAAGGAGAACAGGGCUAUGUACUCUCUCUCUCUCUCUUUUUCUUUAAUGACUGCCCCAUAAUUUAUUGAAUUAACUUUCAAUUGUGAAACAUUUAUGGUAACCAAUUUUCUUACAAUUAGAGAUAAUAUUAGGAUGAUAACCUUGUGCAUUAAUCUUUGUGCAUCAACCCCAAUUUCCUGGGUCAAUAUCCAGGAGGAGAAUUCUUCUAGGCAUUCGAGAAGAUUUGCUGGGUCAAAGAGUGAAAACAUUUUUGAGCCUAUUUUCCGACUUUAUGAAGGUAUAGUUGGCAAAUAAAAAUUGAAUAUAUUAAAGUCAUACAACAAUGGGAUGUUUUGAUUGAUAUAUGUUGUGAAAUGAUUACCACAAUCAAGCCAACUAACCUAUCCAUCAUCUCACUUAGUUGCUAUUUUGUGUGUGAGAACACUUAAGAUCUACUGUCUUAGCAAAUGCAAAAUGUACAAUAUAUUAUUACUAACUAUAGUUGUCAUUCUGAACAUUAGGUGUCCAGAACUUAUUUAUCUUCUAACUGCAACUUUGAAUCCUUUGACUAACAUCUUCCCUAUUUCUCCACCCACAGCACCUGGUAAACAUUAUUCCAUUCUCUAUUACUAUGAGUUCAACUAUUUCAUAUAAAUGAGAUCAUGCUAUAUUUGUCUUUCUGUGUUUGGUUUAUAUUGCUUUACCUGAUGUCCUUCAGUUUCUUUCAUGUUGUCACAACUGGCAGAAUUUCUUUCUUUUU